This 2927-nucleotide ribosomal RNA is filed under the name Escherichia coli. RNAcentral describes it as "partial 23S ribosomal RNA". It matches the Rfam family "Bacterial large subunit ribosomal RNA". The record is from RNAcentral. Lineage: Bacteria; Pseudomonadati; Pseudomonadota; Gammaproteobacteria; Enterobacterales; Enterobacteriaceae.
GGGUUGUGAGGUUAAGCGACUAAGCGUACACGGUGGAUGCCCUGGCAGUCAGAGGCGAUGAAGGACGUGCUAAUCUGCGAUAAGCGUCGGUAAGGUGAUAUGAACCGUUAUAACCGGCGAUUUCCGAAUGGGGAAACCCAGUGUGAUUCGUCACACUAUCAUUAACUGAAUCCAUAGGUUAAUGAGGCGAACCGGGGGAACUGAAACAUCUAAGUACCCCGAGGAAAAGAAAUCAACCGAGAUUCCCCCAGUAGCGGCGAGCGAACGGGGAGCAGCCCAGAGCCUGAAUCAGUGUGUGUGUUAGUGGAAGCGUCUGGAAAGGCGCGCGAUACAGGGUGACAGCCCCGUACACAAAAAUGCACAUACUGUGAGCUCGAUGAGUAGGGCGGGACACGUGGUAUCCUGUCUGAAUAUGGGGGGACCAUCCUCCAAGGCUAAAUACUCCUGACUGACCGAUAGUGAACCAGUACCGUGAGGGAAAGGCGAAAAGAACCCCGGCGAGGGGAGUGAAAAAGAACCUGAAACCGUGUACGUACAAGCAGUGGGAGCACAGAGCAAUCUGUGUGACUGCGUACCUUUUGUAUAAUGGGUCAGCGACUUAUAUUCUGUAGCAAGGUUAACCGAAUAGGGGAGCCGAAGGGAAACCGAGUCUUAACUGGGCGUUAAGUUGCAGGGUAUAGACCCGAAACCCGGUGAUCUAGCCAUGGGCAGGUUGAAGGUUGGGUAACACUAACUGGAGGACCGAACCGACUAAUGUUGAAAAAUUAGCGGAUGACUUGUGGCUGGGGGUGAAAGGCCAAUCAAACCGGGAGAUAGCUGGUUCUCCCCGAAAGCUAUUUAGGUAGCGCCUCGUGAAUUCAUCUCCGGGGGUAGAGCACUGUUUCGGCAAGGGGGUCAUCCCGACUUACCAACCCGAUGCAAACUGCGAAUACCGGAGAAUGUUAUCACGGGAGACACACGGCGGGUGCUAACGUCCGUCGUGAAGAGGGAAACAACCCAGACCGCCAGCUAAGGUCCCAAAGUCAUGGUUAAGUGGGAAACGAUGUGGGAAGGCCCAGACAGCCAGGAUGUUGGCUUAGAAGCAGCCAUCAUUUAAAGAAAGCGUAAUAGCUCACUGGUCGAGUCGGCCUGCGCGGAAGAUGUAACGGGGCUAAACCAUGCACCGAAGCUGCGGCAGCGACGCUGAUGCGUUGUUGGGUAGGGGAGCGUUCUGUAAGCCUGUGAAGGUGUGCUGUGAGGCAUGCUGGAGGUAUCAGAAGUGCGAAUGCUGACAUAAGUAACGAUAAAGCGGGUGAAAAGCCCGCUCGCCGGAAGACCAAGGGUUCCUGUCCAACGUUAAUCGGGGCAGGGUGAGUCGACCCCUAAGGCGAGGCCGAAAGGCGUAGUCGAUGGGAAACAGGUUAAUAUUCCUGUACUUGGUGUUACUGCGAAGGGGGGACGGAGAAGGCUAUGUUGGCCGGGCGACGGUUGUCCCGGUUUAAGCGUGUAGGCUGGUUUUCCAGGCAAAUCCGGAAAAUCAAGGCUGAGGCGUGAUGACGAGGCACUACGGUGCUGAAGCAACAAAUGCCCUGCUUCCAGGAAAAGCCUCUAAGCAUCAGGUAACAUCAAAUCGUACCCCAAACCGACACAGGUGGUCAGGUAGAGAAUACCAAGGCGCUUGAGAGAACUCGGGUGAAGGAACUAGGCAAAAUGGUGCCGUAACUUCGGGAGAAGGCACGCUGAUAUGUAGGUGAAGUCCCUCGCGGAUGGAGCUGAAAUCAGUCGAAGAUACCAGCUGGCUGCAACUGUUUAUUAAAAACACAGCACUGUGCAAACACGAAAGUGGACGUAUACGGUGUGACGCCUGCCCGGUGCCGGAAGGUUAAUUGAUGGGGUCAGCGCAAGCGAAGCUCUUGAUCGAAGCCCCGGUAAACGGCGGCCGUAACUAUAACGGUCCUAAGGUAGCGAAAUUCCUUGUCGGGUAAGUUCCGACCUGCACGAAUGGCGUAAUGAUGGCCAGGCUGUCUCCACCCGAGACUCAGUGAAAUUGAACUCGCUGUGAAGAUGCAGUGUACCCGCGGCAAGACGGAAAGACCCCGUGAACCUUUACUAUAGCUUGACACUGAACAUUGAGCCUUGAUGUGUAGGAUAGGUGGGAGGCUUUGAAGUGUGGACGCCAGUCUGCAUGGAGCCGACCUUGAAAUACCACCCUUUAAUGUUUGAUGUUCUAACGUUGACCCGUAAUCCGGGUUGCGGACAGUGUCUGGUGGGUAGUUUGACUGGGGCGGUCUCCUCCUAAAGAGUAACGGAGGAGCACGAAGGUUGGCUAAUCCUGGUCGGACAUCAGGAGGUUAGUGCAAUGGCAUAAGCCAGCUUGACUGCGAGCGUGACGGCGCGAGCAGGUGCGAAAGCAGGUCAUAGUGAUCCGGUGGUUCUGAAUGGAAGGGCCAUCGCUCAACGGAUAAAAGGUACUCCGGGGAUAACAGGCUGAUACCGCCCAAGAGUUCAUAUCGACGGCGGUGUUUGGCACCUCGAUGUCGGCUCAUCACAUCCUGGGGCUGAAGUAGGUCCCAAGGGUAUGGCUGUUCGCCAUUUAAAGUGGUACGCGAGCUGGGUUUAGAACGUCGUGAGACAGUUCGGUCCCUAUCUGCCGUGGGCGCUGGAGAACUGAGGGGGGCUGCUCCUAGUACGAGAGGACCGGAGUGGACGCAUCACUGGUGUUCGGGUUGUCAUGCCAAUGGCACUGCCCGGUAGCUAAAUGCGGAAGAGAUAAGUGCUGAAAGCAUCUAAGCACGAAACUUGCCCCGAGAUGAGUUCUCCCUGACUCCUUGAGAGUCCUGAAGGAACGUUGAAGACGACGACGUUGAUAGGCCGGGUGUGUAAGCGCAGCGAUGCGUUGAGCUAACCGGUACUAAUGAACCGUGAGGCUUAACCUUACAACGCCGAAG